This 497-nucleotide ribosomal RNA is filed under the name uncultured bacterium. RNAcentral describes it as "partial 16S ribosomal RNA". It matches the Rfam family "Bacterial small subunit ribosomal RNA", at positions 28 to 507 of the family's 1533-position model. The record is from RNAcentral.
GAUGAACGCUGGCGGCGUGCCUAAUACAUGCAAGUCGAGCGAACAGACGAGGAGCUUGCUCCUCUGACGUUAGCGGCGGACGGGUGAGUAACACGUGGAUAACCUACCUAUAAGACUGGGAUAACUUCGGGAAACCGGAGCUAAUACCGGAUAACAUGCUGAACCGCAUGGUGCAACAGUGAAAGACGGUUUUGCGGUCACUUCUAGAUGGAUCCGCGUCGCUUUAGCUAGUUGUUAAGGUAAAGGCUUACCAAGGGAACGAUGCGUAGCCGACCUGAGAGGGUGAUAGGCCACACUGGAGCUGAGCCACGCUCCAGACUCCUGCGGGACGCAGCAGUAGGGAAUCUUCCGCAAUGGGCGAAAGCCUGACGGAGCAACGCCGCGUGAGUUAAGAAGGUCUUCGGAUCGUAAAACUCUGUUAUUAGGGAAGAACCAAUGUGUAAGGAACUAUGCACGUCUUGACGGUAACUAAUCAGAAAGCCACGGCUAACUACGUG